UGCGACAUCUUUUUCAAAGUAGACCAAUUCGCAGAAGAAUCGCGGACAUGGCAACUUUGCUUUCGUCACAAGAUAGCAAGUGCAAAGAGGAAAAAAUUACUCAGUUUUGUGGUUGUGGUCCCGAAUGUUGAAAGUAAAUUCAUGCUUCUGCUUUCUGUGUCAGUUAGGUAUUUGACUUAGAUUGGGACUCAAUGGAGCUGUCUGAAAGGUGCAGCAUUCCAAUGAAUGAUUAUGAGGAUGCUACAGGUUUACAGACCCCAGGUGCAGGGACACCCGGAACAGAAAACAUCUACCAGUCUCUUCGGUCUCCAAACAUACAGAGACAGGCAAAGCCACAUAACAGGAUGCAAUGGAAAACGCCUGUGUUCCGUCUACUCCUCUUCAAUGCACUUUUACUGAUUAGCAUUCUGGUAAUUGUUGGAGUUCACUAUUCCCAUUUCACCGGGGCAUUGUCAUCUAAAAAUGGAGCAUGAAGGAGCCCUAACUGCCAAUACGAGUAUGCUUAUGUCAGAUUUCAGACAGAAUGAAGAAGUGUGGCAUCUCCAUCACAAUGGGUUCUAUCUAUUCUGGCGGAGUGUGGGGGAUUGCUUAGCUGCUGAUAGCUUCUGUCAGCAGAACAACGCUACUCUGACCACAUUGCAGCCACAUAACACGGUUUGGUUGUUGGCCAGGGCCAGAGGACAGCACCUUUGGGUCCUUGAGCUGAGGGAUACGACCGAGGGUUCUGCAGAUGGUGCCACAGAGGAUGAUUCUGAAAAUGAUGCUGAUUGUGCCCUCUUGACUGGUGAUCUCACCCAGCCCUCAAUGAGCCCAGCCCACAUGAAGAGCCAGGGGUGGGUGUGUGAGAGGAAGGCCUCUCCACCACACGUCUCUGGAAAUCAUUAAGAUCGAAUGUAUUCCAUUCAGGAAGGAACCCAGCUUUUUGUCACAAUAUGAAUAGUUUUUUAAUUCCUUGAACAAUGUCCUUGUUUUAAUGACCAAAAUGUCUUGCUUAAUUUUGGUAGUUAAUAUGCUUUGAUUCUAUCCUGCAUUUCAGGGCAACCGCUUGUGUCAGUGAACACAAGAGGGUGCUAUGUAAUUGUAGAGAUUCAAUAAGGUCUGCAAAGAACAUUUUGUUCACAGGAGAACAUUAAUGAAACAUGCACACGUUUUCUUUACAUGCAGAAGAAGUCACUGACCUGUAGAUAAAACCAUAAGCUUGCUAGGCUUCUCAUCAUCAUUCAAAUGAUGACUGAAGCACUACAAAAUGUAGCUGAAACAUCUGUUAAAAAAAAUAAUAGUAAUUUAGCUAGGCAAGUCAGUUAAGAACAAAUUCUUAUUUACAAUGACGUCAGCCUACCCCAGCCAAUCCCGGAUGACGUUAGGCUAAUUGUGCGCAGCCCCAUGGGACUCCCAAUCACGGCUGGAUGUGAUGCAGCCUGGUUAUAAACCACGGACUACAGUGACACCUCUUGCACUGCCUGUGCCUUAGACCGCUGCGCCACUCGGGAGCCCAACACUUCAGAUAUAUUCUCAUCUAAAAAUGUACUUUUAUUUUAGUCCAAACCACAGUAGACUGUAUGAAGAAAUAACUGUAAAUGUUGAGACGUUUACUAUAAUUAGUUUAGCGAAACACACUUUCCAUAAAAAUGUAUCUUCGUGAAAUGUCUUCAGAUAGACCUGAGCUGAAACAUUAAACAGUCUCAAUUAUA
Oncorhynchus kisutch (coho salmon) is the source of this 1691-nucleotide RNA transcript. RefSeq lists it as uncharacterized. The transcript has 6 exons. The record is from RefSeq and is a predicted model, not a curated record. Lineage: Eukaryota; Metazoa; Chordata; Actinopteri; Salmoniformes; Salmonidae.